UAUAACAAAAUUAUAAUAUUCAUCGUGUGCGGAUUAUUGGCGGUAAAAAUCAAUAGCGUACGUUCGUAAAUUCGCUGUCGGCGUACCAGCAGAAAAUGUUCUCGAAUAACAUAUUUACAAACGAAAACAUGACGAUCAAACGUUCGCGCGAUCAAAGUCCUCGGAUAAAUGGAAAUGUAAUAUUGUUUUAAUAUUUUAAUCAUGUAACCCAGGUAGCAAAAAUAUAU
Cinara cedri is the source of this 227-nucleotide non-coding RNA. The record is from the annotation of a GenBank genome assembly. NCBI's taxonomy places the organism in Eukaryota, Metazoa, Arthropoda, Insecta, Hemiptera, Aphididae.